GACGAACCGUGCGAACGUUGUUCGGAUUCACUGGGCUUAAAGGGCGCGUAGGCGGCUUGCCAAGUCAGGGGUGAAAUCUUUCGGCUCAACCGGAAAAGUGCUUCUGAUACUGGCGGGCUGGAGGAGGGUAGGGGCGGGCGGAACUUCCGGUGGAGCGGUGAAAUGCGUAGAUAUCGGAAGGAACGCCGGUGGCGAAAGCGGCCCGCUGGACCCUUUCUGACGCUGAUGCGCGAAAGCCAGGGGAGCAAACGGG
This 253-nucleotide ribosomal RNA is filed under the name uncultured bacterium. RNAcentral's name for it is "partial 16S ribosomal RNA". It matches the Rfam family "Bacterial small subunit ribosomal RNA", at positions 524 to 776 of the family's 1533-position model. The record is from RNAcentral.